This is a long non-coding RNA of Homo sapiens (human), 1865 nucleotides long. Ensembl annotates it as LAMTOR5 and SLC16A4 antisense RNA 1. Its record names the gene LAMTOR5-AS1. Lineage: Eukaryota; Metazoa; Chordata; Mammalia; Primates; Hominidae. The record is from Ensembl.
AAAACAUCACUGCGCUUCCGUCGCACAGAGCCUGACGAAGGCUUGGGCUCCCCGCGCGGUGACCGUCGAGGUGACCUGCACCUGGCUCCAUGGCGGAACCGGCCGGCACGGAUUAUUCCCCUCUCGGGAGAGGUCUGCAGCCGGGCCUCAGUGCUUCAGUUCGUGGCCUGGCAUUUUGUGAAGAGUGUCUUCAUCUCUGCAUCCCUAGUGCAACAGAGCAUGACAAAAAUUCAACAAAUAUUUAUUGAAGAGUCUUGAUGUCUUUUGGGAAAGGAACUCUAUGGUUACCUUUACUCUAAGGCAUUGUGAAGACCCUGUUUCUCUAGCUGUGCAGCUGCAAGGUCACUAGGCAGAUAAACUCAAGCCAUAAAACAUGUUUUUCCUUGAAAAAUUAGAUGGGUGUUACUGAUUCUUACCUCAGAGAAGAGAAUGUCAUGGAGACAAAAUGACCUGCUUAGAGUUCUGCACCCCCCAGCAUGGAGAGCAGAGCGCAAAGAUUUCUUCCGGACUCCCACAUUCCCCUUGGAAUCCAAGAACUGGUCUACUGUCACAACACUUUAGUACCCUCUUCUCCCAAGGAGGCAGCAGAAACUGGGGUAAUCACAACGGUCAACAGCAGCAAAGGCAGCACUUUCUGAUUUACUUGACUGCUAUGGAUGCCACCUCUCUCCACGCCUCAGUUUAAUAUCUGUAAGUUUGGACAGGAGGUGUCCUGGUGAUCAGCUGGAGCUCGGGGGAGCUGUUGCUGAAAUUAACUUGAGUGCUUUGGAGAGAGAUUUACAUGGCAGAGUGGAGCCAGGGCUGCUCCUUUGGCAGGCACUGCUGUGCCACUGUGGAGGCGCCCCUGCUUUUCCCAUGCUUUGCAGUGUCUUUAAAGGCCUUUGGAGCCAUGCCCAGGCUCAGCCCCAUCCUGGUGUCCCCCUGUGUCCGUUUUGCCACUGCCCGGCUACUUCACUUGGCCAUGGGCCUUACCAGCUUGCAGACAAACCCGUCCAUCUACGCCUCCCAGCGCAGCUUGGCCCACUUGCAAGCACUUACAGAGGGUUUCAGAAGGAACAUGUCUGCCAUCUGUGUUUGGAGACUGUGUCCCAGACUUUUGAGCUCACAUUAGUCAUGGCCACAGACGGGACUGGAGUCCUGCCCACUGGAGUCCCAAAGGUCUCUGGUGUUUGUUUUCCACUCUGCAUGCCUGGGUUGGGGGAUGGCAGGGGGAUACAGGUUGUUGGAGUACCUCCCAGCCGGGCCGUUUCCUUGGUUCCCUGGGGCUGCCUUGCUUCCUCUCUAGAUCAUCAGUCUCAGCAGAGGAAACCAAAAAUCUCCUCCUCGCCCCGCAACCACCUUUUGCUGACUGCUAAGCAUCCCUGCUCUGAAACCAUAACCACCAUAAAAGCAAUAGGCUUGUCUUCUCUGUUCUAAGCAUGUACUAUUCAGGUGAUUUAGGGGGAGUAAACAGGCCCAGAGAAAUUAAAUAAUUUGUCUAAGGGUACCGGCUAAUGAGGAUCUGAGCUCAGUUGUAAAUGACUCCAUCACCCAUGCUCUUUUUUAGUCCCCUUUAUAAUUAUUUUAAAAUAACAUUUAAUUAAUUUUCUGUUAUAAAAGGAACACAUGCUCAAACAAAAAACUUAGAAAAUAUAAAAAUGUAUGAAGACAAAACAAAAUAACCCCCAGUAUUAGCAAUGCCAACUUGCCAAGACAAAAAUGUUAACAUUUUUAUUUCUUUUUCUUUUCAGUCUUUACUCUCUGUGUGCACACACACACACAGGCAAAGUGAAAUCACAUUGUAUAUUCUUUUUUGCUUCUAGCAUUUUCCACUUAGCUAUCUAAUAUUACUAUUUCCUGAUAUCAAUAAAUGAUCUUCAAUCCCA